UUAUUUCUUUAAUUCACCCAAAUUUCAUACAUGUUUCAAAGUACUUCCUAGGCCUGUGAAGUUUUUUAUUGCAUUCUUGAAACUGGGCCAAUUUCUGAGAUGCCCAGCAAUGAGUACUAGGUAGGUCAUGAUGGUUCUUUUAGCCACAGCUCCCACUGAGCUUGCCAUGUACAUGGCAACAGCAAUGGUGCAACCUGGAACAUGGGUGAGUGCUUACAUUUAAGUGCAGUGGGAGCAUCUGCUGAGCUCAUCCACCUCACAUCAUGCCUUUAGACACCAUGUCUAAGCUCAAAUUACACCCCAGGCCACAUGUAGGUAAGUGCAGUGUGGAAAAGGCACCCCUCCAGCCACCUGCAGGAAUGCCCUGAGGACCUUGGGGCUGAUCUGCCCCUGCCACCUACUUCUGGGCAAAGCCCAGACCUCCCAGGUGAAGGGAAGACAGGGAGGAGGGAUAAAUCCUCUCAUGGUGUUAAUUAUUGAUGUAUUUUAAAUUACUCAUUUAAAUACCGGGAGGUGCUUAAUCCCCUCCUGUGACAGAGGCAGGUUGGGAGCACUGUGUGCUCUGCUGGGCGCUGAGCGGCACUGGCACACACAGCUCUGUCAUUAGCAAGCUGGCUGCUGCUGGCACGUGCACACAGAUGACUGUGUCAUUAAAAACAUUUUUUCCAUCUAAUACUCCAAAGGUUAUUCUUGGUGACAAGUGCUUUCCAGCUUGUGGCAGGCUGGCUCCUACAUUGAGUCCAUAUUCAAGCAUGACCAGGUCUCUUGGAUGCCUUUCUGUUACCAUCUAUAUCUAUACCUAUGUGCUAUUGUGCUGUCAAGAGGCGGAUGAGAUGAACUGGAGGUGAACAAAAGUCUUGUUGCCUCUAGUUUACCUCACCAGUGUCCAGGUACAACAGUACUGGGUGUCCUCCAAAAUGUUUCCCAAAGCAAAGAGCUAUGUUGGUGGAGACAGGCAGGUAGGCAUCAUCCCACUACAGCAGCUGAAGCCUGAAGAGGCAUAUGCAGCUGAUGGGGACUUCUCCUUGCAGAUGGUGCUGUGAAGAGGCAUCUUGUUGUAUUAGGGAUGGAGAGUAGUGGAGGGGUCCUUCCAUGCCAGGGACAAAAGGUGGCCUACAAAGCAGUCUAGCAGCCCCAGAUAUGGAAUCAGAGGAAAUACGCAUCACAGAUUUUUGUUAAAACCUUUGGUCGGUGUCUCUAACAAACACUUCCAUUUCUCACUGUACUGUACCACAACAGAUUCCUGAUGCUUGCACACACUCCUCUUACUUAUCCCAGCUUUCUCUGGCUUGGCUCCCUUUGGUCCUGGAUCUAAGCCUCCGAACCUGUGGGAACCAGGAUACUUCUGUGCAGCAGUGGCAUCAAACCAACCCCAAAGAACCCCAGUGAGCCAUAACAUCCCCCAGAAAUCCUCAUGGUCCCAUCAAUGGAGUCAAAGACGAACCAGAACCAGAACUGGAACUUGUGCGUUUCCUCUUAGGUCAGGAGCAAGUGUGCUCUCUUUGGACAGGAGCUGUCCAGCACGGCAAGAGGUGGGAAGUGAUCCCACAGGCCUGUGAAGGUGGUGGGAGUGUGCAGCACCCAAUAGGGCAGCGGUCUCUUUUGCUUUGCCAAGCUCUGGUUGCCCAAGAAAGUGAUGUCCAGGGCAGCCUUGCCACAGCUACUCUGCCAGGGCUGCCUUUUCUAUGCGUGCCCAACCGGAAUUCUUCCACUCCACUUGGUCACUUUGCAUUGCACUGUGAGGUGCCCAAGCCCCAGUCUCCCCUGGAACCCUGUACAUGGACCCCAUGCUGUCAGGCAAAGAUAGGAGACUGAGGUUAUGGGCUGCACCAGUCCCCCUGUGCUUCAGAGGGCACGAAGGAACAGUUCUAGCUCAAGGGCUACUGUAAAGGGCAUUUUGAGGGUCAGGUGUCCAAAUUCAAGUGGAAAAAAACAGUCAGUGAUGACACUGGGUGAGGAGGCAGCAUGGUACUGGCCAAAACUGGGACAUUGUUCCUGGGGAGCUUUUGGGGGACAAGUGAGUGUCUCUUUGCCAAAUUCUUCUUUAUCCAAAGGCUGAUUUUUGACCAGCACCCAUGCAGUGCAGUAUCACUAGGACAGCAUAACCUGUGGGGUGCUGUGGGUGCCCUUUGUGGCAACAGUGAUGGGAAGACAGCCAGAGGUACCACUGGCCCCACACAAUGCAUGGCCCUUGGACUACGUCCCCAUACCAUGGCAGGCCCCAGGGACAAAGCAGCUCCUUUGAUCCUCUUGGCUUUUCCUUUGUGAUA
Molecule: long non-coding RNA, 2270 nt
Organism: Taeniopygia guttata (zebra finch)
Lineage: Eukaryota; Metazoa; Chordata; Aves; Passeriformes; Estrildidae
Source: Ensembl